Molecule: long non-coding RNA, 1293 nt
Organism: Cyprinus carpio (common carp)
Lineage: Eukaryota; Metazoa; Chordata; Actinopteri; Cypriniformes; Cyprinidae
Source: Ensembl
UCUUCAAAUUGUUUUACCACUAUGUAAUAUCAACUGUUAGUGUCUCGAGUUUGUUGUUUAGAAAACAUUGCUAGAGCUAUCAAUCUUUCUUACAGAAUGCCUACUAUGAGCCAUCCUCCCUGGGGUUAUUCCUAUAUCUACCUGAAGGUCAUGGCACCCAUACUGUGUACACAAAGGACAUGAAGGUCAUUUUCAGCACAGGAUGACUCCGCACCAUCACAGUCAAUAUGUGUGCAUGUGAACCAGAAACCUGCACAUUGCUAAGGUAUGGGCUCUGGCCAGCAACAGCCGACAAGCCCCAGACAGUAAGUCAGUUUGCAGAUGUCAGUUUGAAGUCUUGUCUGUGAAGUGAACAUUUCAGUUACUAUUAUGGAACACUGACCAUAUAGAUGUGAAAAAUACACCUUCUUUCUUGAUUUUACUACAUUAAUUAUCACAAUUAAAAGUAAACAUUUAUGGAACCAUCUAGGAUUGUACAGUUGCAUGCAAAAGUAUUCUUGAUAUUUUUCUAUAAAAUAACAACUUCUGAGUGAACCACCAUCAUCACCACAUGUUAGCAUACAAAAUAGUAAUGUUUUCACUGAUUGCUGCUUAUACCAUAGGUUAACACACUCUACAGAGCCCUGGUAGGGGAAUCCAUAUCCCAUUUUAGGCAUCACCACGUCCGACAAAGAAAUUCUUGAUAUUUUUGCCCACAAUUAGAUGAUGGGACCAUAUGCCCAGCAUGUCCAAAGAUGGAGAUAUGAUUGUGACAUUGGAUGCCAACUUUGGCCUUGUGAGGAAGCAAAGCUCAGGGACAAGUGCGGUUGAGCCUUUACAUGGAACCCGCAUGUUUUUUGAUGAAAAGGAUGUAGAGGAAUACCUGCUAUCACAUCUUGACAGCUCAAAGCCUCACAAGGUUAGUCAUAGAUUUAGUCCAUGAAAUAUUUACUUUACUUGUGAAAUCAUUAUUCCUCCCAUAAAUCUAUGUUUUCCUUAAAUCUUUAGGACUGCAGUAACUUCAAGGCUGGCAACGUGCUGAGGUCACAAAAACAAGCAAAGAAACUUGAUGUUACAGUGUGUUUGGAGCCCCUUGUCAUCAUGAAAUGCCCCUAAUGUUUGUCAACAUGAGCCAAGGAGAACGGCAAGUCUAUGCCACAGUAGUGACAUCUCUGACUAAUGACCCAGUGUUCCAGAAUGAUAAUUCCCCGUUUGAUUCUGCCUAUUCAUAAAAUGCUUAGAAUAGCAUGACCAAAUUUUUUUCAGUCACCAAAUAUGAACCUCAUGGAAUGUAUAUGGGAGAUUCCAAAAUAU